CCGCCCGGUGCUUCCCCGUCAGGCUCCGAACAGCUUCCGUGAGUGGAAGCCAAGCCGGUUCUGCCGGGGUGCUCUUUACCGAGUGUCCCGCGCGGCCGGCCAGUUCACCUUGAAUAAAUGAGAGUGCUCAAAGCAGGCUACUCUGGAAUACAAUGCCCGAAUGUUACCUGCUCAGAAUGAUGGAAGAUGAUCUCGGUUCCAUUUUGUUGGUGGUGGGAGCCAGAGGUAAUGAUAAAGAGGGACUGUCGGGGGCAUCCGUACUACGACGCGAGAGGUGAAAUUCAGUGACCGUCGUAGGACGAACAACAGCGAAAGCAUUUGCCAAGAAUGUCUUCGUUGAUCAAGAACGAAAGUUAGAGGAUCGAAGGCGAUCAGAUACCGCCCUAGUUCUAACCCUAAACGAUGCUGACUAGCAAUUCGCCGUCGUUAUUCCCAUGACGUGGCGAGACGCCCCCGGGAAACCUCAAGUCUUUGAGUUCCGGGGGUAGUAUGGUUGCAAAAGUGAAACUUAAAGGAAUUGACGGAAGGGCACCACCAGGAGUGGAGCCUGCGGCUUAAUUUGACUCACACGGGAAAGCUCACCAGGCCCGGACACCAGAAGGAUUGACAGAUUAAGAGCUCUUUCUCGAUUU
RNAcentral lists this ribosomal RNA (632 nucleotides) under Macrobrachium malcolmsonii (monsoon river-prawn). Its description in RNAcentral is "bacterial SSU rRNA". It matches the Rfam family "Eukaryotic small subunit ribosomal RNA", at positions 727 to 1268 of the family's 1831-position model. The record is from RNAcentral. Lineage: Eukaryota; Metazoa; Arthropoda; Malacostraca; Decapoda; Palaemonidae.